This 1332-nucleotide long non-coding RNA is filed under the name Canis lupus familiaris (dog). Its description in RNAcentral is "lncRNA (ENSCAFG00030012026.1)". The record is from RNAcentral. Lineage: Eukaryota; Metazoa; Chordata; Mammalia; Carnivora; Canidae.
GUUUUUCUGUGCUGCUUACGCAGAUGGAACCAGUCCCGCAGGCACUCAAGAGGAUAUUUGCUGUAUUUGGUGUGGGAUCCUUUGGUGAAGGAGUCUGUACCACGGUGUUAACAGUUUUGGCAACUGACUGUGAAAAAACAACCCCUGAACUUUACUACUUGUCUGUGCUGCUGUCGGUGAGCAGCUUGGUUUCUACAGACAAGAAUCCAGGGAACACUCUAAGCAGAGAAGUGCCGAAUCAGACUAAGUCACGUAGAAAGAAGAGCAGGCAAACAGAACGCCUGGGUCAGCACAGCUCUGAUGAUCGCACACAAAUGCCUGAAGAGAACACAUACUGUCAUAACCAAAAUUAGGGGAAGUACACAAUGAGAAAACGUUUGUUUAGCAAGUUCUUCAAAUGCUAAAGCAAAGAAGCAUAUUUUUUUUCAGUGUGCUUUGCUUUGGCACUGACCCCUGUCUGUCCCUGAGAGAUCUGCGUUACUGAAAGCCUGGAUGUGUCCACACGAUUACCGUUAAUCAAAAAACGAGACCUGAUGACAGUAGCACAGCAGUCACUUACUUUCACAAGGAAAUUCUGUGGACCUGAAGUGUCGUGCAAGGUGGGUCACUGGACAUUCCCACCACAGCAAAGGCUUCUCGGUGCUGGGCCAGAACCAGGGUUUCACAGCACAACUCUAACUCUGAAAAACAACACAGGGGGUGCCUGAAUGGGUUUGGUGGGUGAAGCCUCUGCCUUUGGCUGAGGUCAUGAUCCCCAAGUCCCAGGAUCGAGCCCCACAUGGGGUUCCCUGCUCAGUAGGGAGUCUGCUUCGUUCUCUUCCUCUGCCCGUCCCCCAGCUUGUGCUAACGAAUAUAAUAAUAAUAAUAAUUUUAAAAUCUUUAAAAAAAUAGAGAAAAACGAGAAACCCAAGGAUCAGAACUGGGGAAGUAAUUCAUUGUGGUUCGACUUCCCUGGGAACUUAGUUGGAGGAAGUCUGGAGGAGUCGGGGGCUGAAAGAGAACGAGCCCAACUAGCCAGCCCCACGACGUCUGGGGACCUGGGACUCGGGGGACCUCGGACUCGGGGAACUUCGACCUCGGGGACCUGGGACUCGGGGGCCGCGGGCGAGGGGAGCGUUUCCGCCCAGUUUCCCGGUAACUUCCAAGCUGCCCAACGGCCCGGCGGUGCCCUCAGGGGCGUGAGCGCCAAACCCCGUCUCUAACGGAUUUGCAAAGACGGAUUUCCGAGGAAAGAGGAGGGAAAGAGAAGUCCUUCGGGACGGAACACUUCCUCCUCCGUCCCCGCCCACCUCCGCCACGCUCCAGGGGCCUCGGGAAAGGGAUCUUUCCCAC